AUGUCAAUGUGUUCAUUUUUUGACUUAACAUCUUUAAUUGUUGUAGGCAUGGCUUCAUCCGGUUCCAUGACGAGGCCACCGUGUGCUAACCAAGAAGACAUGCCGCACAAGUGGGAGAACGCAUGUUUGGACAAGGUGAAGGAGAAAGAUGUGAAGAUUCCGCCAUGUUGGUGUGGAGAUGUUUGCAAGGUGAAGGUGUCCACCGACCGAAAGAAGUCAUGGACGGAAGGAAGGAGAUAUUUUGUAUGCCCCAACUAUGCUUAUGAUCGUGCGCUUCCAACUCAUGCCUAUGACCAACCACCGUCACCGCCUCCUCUAUGCAAGUACUUCACGUGGAUAGAUCAUGAAGUGCCAGAAGAUGUCCAAAAGGACCAAUAUCAAGAUUGUCUUAGGCGCCAGCGGCUGUUCGAAGAAAGGUUUCGAAGAGGCUUGGAGGAAGAGCGUCGUCAGAAGGAGAGGAUGGAGCGCAAGCAACACGAGGAGGAGAGGGCACGCCAAGCGAAGCUUGCUCAUGAGGAGGAGAGGGCAAGAAAGCUUGCAAAGGCUCGCAAGGCACAAGAGGAGGAUGAGGCACGUGACAAGAAGGGGAAAUGGCCCCCGUAUGACUCAGUAAAGCCUUCGCUUCGGUGGACUCGUCAUGUAACCGGAUGA
This 651-nucleotide ribosomal RNA is filed under the name Triticum aestivum (bread wheat). RNAcentral describes it as "partial small subunit ribosomal RNA". Lineage: Eukaryota; Viridiplantae; Streptophyta; Magnoliopsida; Poales; Poaceae. The record is from RNAcentral.